CUACCAUAACCCUCAUCAAGCUUGACUCAUUUGACAGCACCAUCUAGCGUCAACAGCCCCAAACCCGCACGUUUCGAGCUGUUUCGAGCAGUUGUUCAAGCUCGACGCCCGUGUAUGACUUGCUCAUUGCGCACGCGCCCAGCUCGACCACUCUUGGGAGAAUGUGUCAAAACAACAAACACCCAGCGCGUGACGUCAAUGGCCUGCACUUUACCCUGUUGGUAUUGGUGCAAUCGCCGUUACUUUUGCGCCCGUGUUGGUUUCCGACCUCCGACGUUCUGCUUCCAUGUUGACAAACAUUAUGUUUUAGGCACGCAGUGACGGGUUUGGACAUGUCGUCGGGGAGAGCGGACGAGAGAGGACGUUUGAGACAACGCCAAAAGGGCCAAUCUCACACAGAAAAUCUGAAAUGCUCUCUCUCUCUCGCUAAACAGAAGGAAGCUGUCAAAGUUCGAUCGGGUUCAGUUCAGUUGGCAUCGUGUGCAGGUUCGGUUGCUCGGGACGAGUGUCGUGCGUUUUUGAUUAAGGCUUUUUGCUCUUGUUAGAAAAUAAUAAAACCAACUAACAACUGCAAAAUAUCGUACUUUUACCGCAAAGUACAUCAAGAUUUGGGAAAGGAACCUCGCGAAUCUCGCAUAAACAUCAGACACUUGAAAAGUAGGCUGUUUUUAUCACAUACAAAUCUUGUGCAGUUUUGCUGUGGCCAAGUAGGCGAGGAAACGUGUUCGCUUGUGUGAGUCGACCCAGCAGCAAGUCUCAGAACGCACCAGCGGCAGAUUCCAAGUUGAACUCCCGUCGGAACCGGAAGAAGAGAUCCGUGGCUCGUCGGUCGGUCGGUCGGUCGUUCCCGUCGCCGUCGCUGUGUCUGUGUGUGCUCCCAAGGGGAUUGGCCCGUACCCAAAGCUGCGUCACCGCGGAUGAAGUCCUGACCGGGGGAAAAUGGCCAUACUGGAAAAACUACGACGGAAAGUCGCAGGAAGGUGGUGAAAAUUUUGGUGGUGUCCUGAAAAAAGGGGACGAAGCAGGCGAGGACCAGAAGAAGCUGUGGCCUGCUGGAAUAGGGUGUGUUUGAAGGAUCCUUUGCGGGGUUACUCGGGAUCCUUGCGUGUUUGGGGAGGAGUUAUGGUCUAGGAUACCGGAAGACGAGAGUGAGGUCGUCGCCGCCUGCUACGAGUGCUUGAGAAUUCAAAGAAAUAGAGGGGAGUUGAAGUUGGAGCAGACGCGCGACAACGGCUGGAUUGAAGGUGUGGAGUGUUCACGGUGGGGUUAAACGACGAACCUUCCAAGGUGGGUUCUUUUUCCCUCUCUGAAGGGGUGUGUUGUGUGUAUCGAUUAAAGUGCCGCGCCGCGGCUGUCGAAGAAGGAAAAGUCCGCAAGAAGACCGGAGGAGGAGGGGGCGCCCUUUCCACAAAUACACAGCAGAGUGAGCGAGAGAGAGUCGAGUGCGCCCCGGGGCCAAGUUCCUCUUAACCCGGUGCCAAAGUGUCCACACACAGUCGGGAGUGCGUGUCCUGGGAAGUAAUUUGACGACGCGGAAGAAUCUCCCCGGGAAGAUGAAGUUUUUUCGAGUGAAAAAUCAAUGAAAAAAGUGGCACUUCCGUGAAAGAAGAAAAUCCCGUCCCGUGGCCAUGGAUCGUCUUUAGGAAGGAAGAAGAGUGUCCAUGUUUGUGAUCGGAGUCUGUGACCGGAGCUAGUCAGUCGUCGGCAGUGAGAGAAA
Long non-coding RNA from Culex pipiens pallens (northern house mosquito), 1717 nucleotides. RefSeq lists it as uncharacterized. Lineage: Eukaryota; Metazoa; Arthropoda; Insecta; Diptera; Culicidae. The transcript is spliced from 2 exons. The record is from RefSeq and is a predicted model, not a curated record.